GAUGAAGAACGCAGCGAAUUGCGAUAAGUAAUGUGAAUUGCAGAUUUUCAGUGAAUCAUCGAAUCUUUGAACGCACCUUGCGCCCUUUGGCCAUUCCGAAGGGCAUGCCUGUUUGAGUAUCAUGAACACCUCAACUCUUCAUGGUUUUCCAUGAUGAGCUUGGACUUUGGGGGUCUUGCUGGCCUGUGGGUCGGCUCCUCUCAAAUGAAUCAGCUUGCCGGUUUUUGGUGGGCAUCACAGGUGUGAUAACUAUCUACGCUUGUGGUUUUCCACCAGGGUAACCUUCAGCAGUGGAGGUUCACUGGAGCUUACAAAUGUCUCUCCUCUGUGAGGACAGCCCUUUGAAUGUUUGAUCUCAAAUCAGGUAGGACUACCCGCUGAACUUAAGCAUAUCAAUAAGCGGAGGA
Molecule: unclassified non-coding RNA, 407 nt
Filed under: soil metagenome
Description: partial contains 5.8S ribosomal RNA, internal transcribed spacer 2, and large subunit ribosomal RNA
Rfam family: 5.8S ribosomal RNA (bases 1-122)
Source: RNAcentral